GCCGGGGUGCUCUAGCCUGGGAGGAGGUAGAUCUGGCCAGCCUAUGACCAGCAAUGGUCUCGAGGGUUCAAAUCCCUUCCCCGGCG
Molecule: transfer RNA, 86 nt
Filed under: Nitrososphaerota archaeon
Lineage: Archaea; Thermoproteati; Nitrososphaerota
Description: Thaumarchaeota archaeon tRNA-Ala
Rfam family: tRNA
About the family: Transfer RNA (tRNA) molecules are approximately 80 nucleotides in length.
Source: RNAcentral